RNAcentral lists this ribosomal RNA (428 nucleotides) under uncultured bacterium. RNAcentral describes it as "bacterial SSU rRNA". It matches the Rfam family "Bacterial small subunit ribosomal RNA", at positions 355 to 774 of the family's 1533-position model. The record is from RNAcentral.
UGGGGAAUUUUGCGCAAUGGGCGAAAGCCUGACGCAGCAACGCCGCGUGAGGGAUGAAGGCCUUCGGGUCGUAAACCUCUGUCAGAGGGGAAGAACAUCCUGUGGGUUAAUAUCCCACAGGCCUGACGGUACCCUCAGAGGAAGCACCGGCUAACUCCGUGCCAGCAGCCGCGGUAAUACGGAGGGUGCAAGCGUUGUUCGGAAUUAUUGGGCGUAAAGCGCGUGUAGGCGGUUUGUUAAGUCUGAUGUGAAAGCCCCGGGCUCAACCUGGGAAGUGCAUUGGAUACUGGCAAACUUGAGUAUGGGAGAGGAAAGUGGAAUUCCGAGUGUAGGGGUGAAAUCCGUAGAUAUUCGGAGGAACACCAGUGGCGAAGGCGGCUUUCUGGACCAAUACUGACGCUGAGACGCGAAAGCGUGGGGAGCAAACA